Molecule: long non-coding RNA, 431 nt
Organism: Lepidothrix coronata (blue-crowned manakin)
Lineage: Eukaryota; Metazoa; Chordata; Aves; Passeriformes; Pipridae
Exons: 3
Source: RefSeq, a predicted model, not a curated record
AAGGUCUGCCAAGCUUCUUGCAAAAUGUUUGAGUCUGUUCUCACCUCGGUAUAGUUUGCUUGCCUGGUUGGGAUAACGCUGGCUGGCUUGGUUGUGUGGUGAUCCAUGACCUGUCUGCACAGGCAUGCUGGUGUGGCAAGACAGUUUGGAGUAGCAGGAACAGGUGAGCUGAUAUGGAAGAAAACAGCUUGGUAUCACUACUUCAGGGUUUGUCUCUCCCAGUGCAAUAUGGCUGAGAACGUGGCAAAGGCUUCUUGGCAUCUCCAGUGUUGAGCUCCAGGAAUUCAAAAGGCACCUGAUCUUGGCCAUCCAUAGGCAGUUGGUUUCUGCUGCACUGCACUGGCUUUUGAUGUCAAAGAUGGGGGAAAAGUCUGAGAGGAAGGCUGAACAGUGCUGGUCAAGGUAACGGCUGAGCUGUCCCGACUUUCCUU